UGUAGCAAGGUUAACCGAAUAGGGGAGCCGGAGGGAAACCGAGUCUUAAUUGGGCGUUAAGUUGCAGGGUAUAGACCCGAAACCCGGUGAUCUAGCCAUGGGCAGGUUGAAGGUUGGGUAACACUAACUGGAGGACCGAACCGACUAAUGUUGAAAAAUUAGCGGAUGACCUGUGGCUGGGGGUGAAAGGCCAAUCAAACCGGGAGAUAGCUGGUUCUCCCCGAAAGCUAUUUAGGUAGCGCCUCGUGAAUUCAUCUCCGGGGGUAGAGCACUGUUUCGGCUAGGGGGCCAUCCCGGCUUACCAACCCGAUGCAAACUGCGAAUACCGGAGAAUGUUAUCACGGGAGACACACGGCGGGUGCUAACGUCCGUCGUGAAGAGGGAAACAACCCAGACCGCCAGCUAAGGUCCCAAAGUCAUGGUUAAGUGGGAAACGAUGUGGGAAGGCCCAGACAGCCAGGAUGUUGGCUUAGAAGCAGCCAUCAUUUAAAGAAAGCGUAAUAGCUCACUGGUCGAGUCGGCCUGCGCGGAAGAUGUAACGGGGCUAAACCAU
Molecule: ribosomal RNA, 553 nt
Filed under: Salmonella enterica subsp. enterica serovar Senftenberg
Lineage: Bacteria; Pseudomonadati; Pseudomonadota; Gammaproteobacteria; Enterobacterales; Enterobacteriaceae
Also listed under: 3 other names
Description: partial 23S ribosomal RNA
Rfam family: Bacterial large subunit ribosomal RNA
Source: RNAcentral